GAUGAACGCUGGCGGCGUGCCUAAUACAUGCAAGUCGAGCGAACAGACGAGGAGCUUGCUCCUCUGACGUUAGCGGCGGACGGGUGAGUAACACGUGGAUAACCUACCUAUAAGACUGGGAUAACUUCGGGAAACCGGAGCUAAUACCGGAUAAUAUAUUGAACCGCAUGGUUCAAUAGUGAAAGACGGUUUUGCUGUCACUUAUAGAUGGAUCCGCGCCGCAUUAGCUAGUUGGUAAGGUAACGGCUUACCAAGGCAACGAUGCGUAGCCGACCUGAGAGGGUGAUCGGCCACACUGGAACUGAGACACGGUCCAGACGCCUACGGGAGGCAGCAGUAGGGAAUCUUCCGCAAUGGGCGAAAGCCUGACGGAGCAACGCCGCGUGAGUGAUGAAGGUCUUCGGAUCGUAAAACUCUGUUAUUAGGGAAGAACAAAUGUGUAAGUAACUAUGCACGUCUUGACGGUACCUAAUCAGAAAGCCACGGCGAACUACGU
RNAcentral lists this ribosomal RNA (496 nucleotides) under uncultured bacterium. RNAcentral describes it as "partial 16S ribosomal RNA". It matches the Rfam family "Bacterial small subunit ribosomal RNA", at positions 28 to 506 of the family's 1533-position model. The record is from RNAcentral.